GUAGGUGGCAAGCGUUGUCCGGAACUAUUGGGCGUAAAGCGCGCGCAGGCGGUUCUUUAAGUCUGAUGUGAAAGCCCACGGCUCAACCGUGGAGGGUCAUUGGAAACUGGAGAACUUGAGUACAGAAGAGGAAAGCGGAAUUCCACGUGUAGCGGUGAAAUGCGUAGAGAUGUGGAGGAACACCAGUGGCGAAGGCGGCUUUCUGGUCUGUAACUGACGCUGAGGCGCGAAAGCGUGGGGAGCAAACAGGAUUAGAUACCCUGGUAGUCCACGCCGUAAACGAUGAGUGCUAAGUGUUAGGGGGGUUUCCGCCCCCCUUAGUGCUGCAGCUAACGCAUUAAGCACUCCGCCUGGGAGUACGGCCGCAAGGCUG
RNAcentral lists this ribosomal RNA (373 nucleotides) under uncultured organism. Its description in RNAcentral is "partial 16S ribosomal RNA". It matches the Rfam family "Bacterial small subunit ribosomal RNA", at positions 527 to 896 of the family's 1533-position model. The record is from RNAcentral.